This 446-nucleotide ribosomal RNA is filed under the name uncultured bacterium. RNAcentral's name for it is "partial 16S ribosomal RNA". It matches the Rfam family "Bacterial small subunit ribosomal RNA", at positions 338 to 795 of the family's 1533-position model. The record is from RNAcentral.
CCUACGGGAGGCAGCAGUCGAGAAUCAUUCACAAUGGGGGAAACCCUGAUGGUGCGACGCCGCGUGGGGGAAUGAAGGUCUUCGGAUUGUACACCCCUGUCAUGUGGGAGCCAAUUAACAAGAUAGUACCACAAGAGGAAGAGACGGCUAACUCUGUGCCAGCAGCCGCGGUAAUACAGAGGUCUCAAGCGUUGUUCGGAAUCACUGGGCGUAAAGCGUGCGUAGGCUGUUUCGUAAGUCGUGUGUGAAAGGCGCGGGCUCAACCCGCGGACGGCACCUGAUCCUGCGAGACUAGAGUAAUGGAGGGGGAACCGGAAUUCUCGGUGUAGCAGUGAAAUGCGUAGAUAGCGAGAGGAACACUCGUGGCGAAGGCGGGUUCCUGGACAUUAACUGACGCUGAGGCACGAAGGCCAGGGGAGCGAAAGGGAUUAGAUACCCGAGUAGUC